RNAcentral lists this transfer RNA (76 nucleotides) under Paracoccus denitrificans. Its description in RNAcentral is "tRNA-Met". The record is from RNAcentral. Lineage: Bacteria; Pseudomonadati; Pseudomonadota; Alphaproteobacteria; Rhodobacterales; Paracoccaceae.
CGCUAGGUUUCGCAAUUUUCCCUCUGAUCGGCUCAUAACCUGAAGGUCGCAGGUUCAAAUCCUGCCCCCGCAACCA